Molecule: long non-coding RNA, 715 nt
Organism: Balaenoptera musculus (blue whale)
Lineage: Eukaryota; Metazoa; Chordata; Mammalia; Artiodactyla; Balaenopteridae
Exons: 3
Source: RefSeq, a predicted model, not a curated record
GGAUGAACUUUAUGGAAUGCAAAUUAUAUCUUAAUAAAGCUGUUUAAAAAUGGGGAAAAAGUGGGAUCCAAAAAGACCAUUCCUUCAGUAAUCCUGCUUAGUUAUAGAAGGAACACCCUAGUUUUAAGUUCCUAGUCUUUUCCUGUAUGAAGGCUCUUUUUUUUUUUCUCCUGGCCUCACCACAUGGCUUGUGGGAUUUUAGUUCCCUGACCAGGGAUUGAACCUGGGCCCUCAGCUGGGAGAGCAUGGAGUCCUAACCACUGGAUUGCCAGGGAAUUCCCCGAAGGCUCAUUUUUAAGCUGCUCAGGCAAAAUGGCACCCUUUCUCCUCCCAAACCAAUGAGCUUCGCUGAGAGCAGAUCCAGCACAGAAGACAGCCAGAGCCAUGCCGGUUGGCAGACACUUGUCUUUAGCAAAUGUAAUUAAAGGCAGCAGCAAGCAUCCCACCUGAUGAGAAAACAGUCUUUCCACUCAACACAGAGGACUGAGGGAAGAGCGCUAAACUUGGGGUCAGAAUACCUGGAGGGUCUACACCAGCUCUACCACUUUCCAGCUGUGUGAUAUCCGACAAGUCACACGUCACCUCUCUGAACUGCAGUCCCAGCAAGGGUAACUGCUCUCCUACCCUUCACGAUUUGUUAUGAGGAUCCGGACAAUGAUGUGAAAUUCCUUUUCAAAUUAUUCACCAUUCUGUAAAAUGGGAAUCAUUCUUAAUA